CAGGCUGCCAGCGUGGAAAACCGGCCACGUGCAGGUCUGGGGCUGGGCACACACAGGGUCACACCCAGGAAGGGAUAAGCUAUGCAUUUCUAUUGAUAGAGUGGGCAGGGACCACAGGAAUUUAGAAAAUAUUAGGGCCAAGUUUACUGGGGAAAAUGUACAGGCCAGCAGAUAGCAUGGAAAAGUCCCCUCCCUGAGGAAGGGAAGCAUCUCAGAGGAGGUAAGAGACUGCUCCCAGGGCUGUGGUUAGAGCCUCCCCAACCGCAGCACGAUGCCCUUUGUCCCAUCUUCAGCAGGAGGGGCUGCUCUCCAUGGAGAUGAGGCUGACAGGGUCAGCGGAGUAGCCUGUGACAGGCAGGUUUUAAUAAGUUCAUUUUCAGCCAACCCCUGAAAUGGGUUAUUUUUGUUCCAUGGGAAUGCUCUACAUCUUCUGAAAGAUGGCACCUGGGACCCAGCCCAUGGCCUUCCUGGGGUAGGAUGUGCUGGAGAAGGAUUCUGUGGACCUGACAGAGAAGACAGAAGCCAGAGAGUAGACACCCGGAAAGAAAGAGGGAAAAGUGUGGUGGGAAGGACAGAGGGGACCCGAAGUUCCCCACGCCAGGGAAAUGACAGGGGGUUGCCAGUCUGUUUCUGAUGGUUGAGCAGUCAGGGGCCCAGAGACGCAGGAAACCCAAAAUCCUUGGUCCACCACGGGGCUGUCCUCAGGGUCUGGAGAGCAGGCCCCAUACUCCAGGCCCCCAUCCUCCAGGCCCUCGUCCCCCAGGCUCCAUCCUCCAGGCCCCCAUUCUCCAGGGCUCCAUCCUCUAGGCCCCUGUCCUCCAGGCCCCCAUCCUCUAGGCCCUCAUCCUCCAGGCUCCAUCCUCCAGGCUCCAUCCUCCAGGUUUCAUCCUUCAGGCCAUCAUCCUCCAGGCCCCCGUCCUCCAGGCCCCCAUCCUCCAGGCCCCAUCCUCCAGGCCCCCAUCUUUCAGGCCCCUGUCCUCCAGGCUCUUGUCCUCCAGGCCCUCAUCCUCCAGGCCCCUGCUCCUCCAGACCCUCAUCCUCCAGACCCUCAUCCUCCAGGCCCCCAUCUUUCAGGCCCCUGUCCUCCAGGCCCUCUUCCUCCAGACCCUCGUCCUCCAGGCCCCUGUUCCUCCAGACCCUCGUCCUCCAGACCCUCAUUCUCCAGGCCCCCGUCCUCCAGGCUCCAUCCUCCAGGGCUCCUCUGGGUCCGGGUCAAGUACCUCCAGGCUCUCUGCUGACUGUUCACCACUGGGCAACCACAGGGACUCGAUCCAUGAAAACUCUGGCAAGGAACUUCCAUCUCCACUCCACUUCUGCCACUUCUGCCACCCUCCCAUGACCACACUCAGAACUUGAGCUCCACCUCUGAAAGAGGCAGAAUUGCCUUAUCUCACACAGUGGUGACAGCACUCUGUAAUAAUCUGCAUGGGCCAGGGCUCCUUGGUUGCAGGUAACAGAUACCACUGUUACGGCCCAACUCUGUUCUUCUAUGUUGAAGCCGGAACCCCCAGCGCCUCAGAAUGGGAUCACAUCUGGAGAAGGCGCCUUUAAAGAGAGUGCAAGUUAGGUAAGAAAGAACGGAUGGUGGACAGCCAGGAAACAGUCAGCUACGAGAUGUUGUGUGGAAAGCCCACCUUUCUGACACUGGAGAACUGUGGGAAGAACGGACAGGCCACACACCAGCUGGGCUCUGAGAACCCCCAGCUUCUGCUCCACAGUGAGCCAGCAGGAAUCCAAAGGGCAUGGGCAGACCCCAGGGGCUCCUUCACCCCACCCAGGGGUAGAGAGGGCAAGACGGAGUAGAGCGAGGUAAGAGACUGAGCAAUGCGUUCCCAAAGACUGUGACUGACAGAAGCUGUGCAAAUUAUUAUGACAAACUGAAUUUUAAGAGGAAUUGGACUAAAUAAAGUUAGCUCAUUUUUACCUGUAAUUAGCAGACAGAGAGUGUAAGAUCAGACAUACCAUAGAUGGAAAAGAAAAGCUAAAACUUCCUUGCACAUCUGAGAGGUAAGAGGAGGUGUCUGUGGCCCCCCUGACACAUACGUGACAUAUGUAUUAUUACGGCUCAUGUGUGUGCUGCUGUGUGCAGGGGGCAGGGGGCUUCCCGUUCCUGAUGGUUCUUCUUGGUGGGUGUCUCCCGGCCUCUCAGGCCUCUUUAUCUGCUGAACGUGGUAGCCAAGGGUUUGGGAAUGAUUUGCCAGACUGGUUAAUGUGGAAAGAGCUGGCCCCGCUCAGUUCUGCACCUCCCUCUUCCUCCCUGGAACCGUCUGGCUGCAGAGAGCAGGAGCUUUCCAGAGCUCCCGGGGGAUCCCAUCUCCAGUAUAACUGUGCAACGUGUGCCCAGCACAAGAGCACCAGAUGGAGGGACAGGUGGGAGGAGGAGGAACCCAGGGUGCAUUUAGCUUGGGGCUUGCUGAGCUGAGGUCCCCAGAGCAAGGACGACUAGGUUGGGGGGACACCCUCUCCCAAUCCUUGCCAAGCUACAGAGGGGCCAGUGGGAAUAAAGUGACAUUUUGGCUUCUGUAUCCCUCCUCUGCUGUUCUAUUUUCUAGUUCGUUCAGAUCUGAGGUUGGGGAGGGGUUUUCCUGGAGGGGUCAGUCCAUGCCACCCUCUGCAAUUUUUAUUACACAUGCUUUCAGACAUUCUGCUACAGGUUUCAUCUCCUACGCCAAUUUCUAUUUGGGAAAGCAAAUAAACGGAAAGCUAACUUGUGUCACUUGGUCGCUGGGGCAUCCGCAGUGAGUAGUUAAGAAAUGCCAGGGGAGUCGGUGUCCAUUUUCAUGCCUGGACAAGAGUGCGUCUUGGACUUGCGUCCUGCUGCACACCCCACCGUCCCGCUGCACACCCCACCGUCCUACUGCACACCCCACUGUCCUACUGUACACCCCACCGUCCUACUGCACACCCCACUGUCCUACUGCACACCCCACUGUCCUACUGUACACCCCACCAUCCCUGCUUUCUGCACUCAGCUGCCCACUUGUAUCCCAGCUCAGGAAGCCCAGAAG
Molecule: long non-coding RNA, 3008 nt
Filed under: Homo sapiens (human)
Lineage: Eukaryota; Metazoa; Chordata; Mammalia; Primates; Hominidae
Description: HSALNT0404373
Source: RNAcentral